This 788-nucleotide ribosomal RNA is filed under the name uncultured archaeon. Its description in RNAcentral is "bacterial SSU rRNA". It matches the Rfam family "Archaeal small subunit ribosomal RNA", at positions 85 to 876 of the family's 1478-position model. The record is from RNAcentral.
ACGGCUCAGUAACACGUAGGUAACCUACCCUCAGGACUGAGAUAACCCCGGGAAACUGGGGCUAAUAUUAGAUAGAUAGAAGAUACUGGAAUGUUCUUUUAUCCAAAGCUUUUGCGCCUGAGGAUGGGCCUGCGUCCGAUUAGGUCGUUGGUGGGGUAAUGGCCCACCAAGCCUGCGAUCGGUACGGGCAGUGGAAGCUGAAGCCCGGAGUUGGGGACUGAGACAAGGCCCCAGGCCCUACGGGGCGCAGCAGGCGCGAAACCUCUGCAAUGCGGGAAACCGUGACAGGGGGAUCCCAAGUGCUCAUGCAUUGCAUGGGCUGUUCUUUGGUCUAAGUAACCAGAGGAGUAAGGGCUGGGCAAGACCGGUGCCAGCCGCCGCGGUAAUACCGGCAGCUCAAGUGGUAGCCGCGAUUAUUGGGCCUAAAACGUUCGUAGCCGGAUAAGUAAGUCUUUGGUUAAAUCCUGCGACUCAACCGUGGGAAUUCUAGAGAUACUGCUCGUCUUGAGACCGGGAGAGGUUGGAGGUACUCCUAGGGUAGGGGUGAAAUCCUGUAAUCCUAGGGGGACCACCUGUGGCGAAGGCGUCCAACUGGAACGGGUCUGACGGUGAGGGACGAAACCUAGGGGAGCGAGCCGGAUUAGAUACCCGGGUAGUCCUAGGCGUAAAUGAUGCGAGUUAAGUGUGGGGGCAUCUACGAGAUGGCCCUGUGCUGUAGGGUAGCCGUUAAACUCGCUGCCUGGGGAGUACGGUCGCAAGGCUGAAACUUAAAGGAAUUGGCGGGGGAG